This 241-nucleotide long non-coding RNA is filed under the name Mustela putorius furo (domestic ferret). RNAcentral's name for it is "lncRNA (ENSMPUG00000025613.1)". The record is from RNAcentral. Lineage: Eukaryota; Metazoa; Chordata; Mammalia; Carnivora; Mustelidae.
CCCAAAUAAUGUGGGGAAAAAAAUGGAAGAGGCCAAAGGAAACCUUUGAUCUAAGCUAUGAGGUGCAUGGCAGAAGGGGAUCCUUUUCCUACAUAUUAAAGAACCAUUAUGACCUCAGUCAAGGAGAAAAGUUUAGUGGUGAAUGAAGAACUUCAUUUUGUUCAAGAGGCUUCUUGGAAAAUGCGUUUUAAUUAAGUCCACCUGAGUAUAUCCUUUCCCCCAUUUCAUUAAUAAAAAUUUA